UCGGGAGGCAGCAGUAGGGAAUCUUCCGCAAUGGACGAAAGUCUGACGGAGCAACGCCGCGUGAGUGAUGAAGGCUUUCGGGUCGUAAAACUCUGUUGUUAGGGAAGAACAAGUGCUAGUUGAAUAAGCUGGCACCUUGACGGUACCUAACCAGAAAGCCACGGCUAACUACGUGCCAGCAGCCGCGGUAAUACGUAGGUGGCAAGCGUUAUCCGGAAUUAUUGGGCGUAAAGCGCGCGCAGGUGGUUUCUUAAGUCUGAUGUGAAAGCCCACGGCUCAACCGUGGAGGGUCAUUGGAAACUGGGAGACUUGAGUGCAGAAGAGGAAAGUGGAAUUCCAUGUGUAGCGGUGAAAUGCGUAGAGAUAUGGAGGAACACCAGUGGCGAAGGCGACUUUCUGGUCUGUAACUGACACUGAGGCGCGAAAGCGUGGGGAGCAAACAGGAUUAGAUACCCUGGUAGUCCACGCCGUAAACGAUGAGUGCUAAGUG
Molecule: ribosomal RNA, 490 nt
Filed under: Bacillus cereus
Lineage: Bacteria; Bacillati; Bacillota; Bacilli; Caryophanales; Bacillaceae
Description: bacterial SSU rRNA
Rfam family: Bacterial small subunit ribosomal RNA
Source: RNAcentral